GAUGAACGCUAGCGAUAGGCUUAACACAUGCAAGUCGAGGGGCGGCAUGGUCUUAGCUUGCUAAGACUGAUGGCGACCGGCGCACGGGUGCGUAACGCGUAUGCAACUUGCCUCACAGAGGGGGAUAACCCGUCGAAAGACGGACUAAUACCGCGUACACUCCAUCUUGGGCAUCCAAGGUAGAGGAAAUGAAAUUCGCUGUGAGAUAGGCAUGCGUCCCAUUAGCUAGUUGGUGAGGUAACGGCUCACCAAGGCGACGAUGGGUAGGGGAACUGAGAGGUUGAACCCCCACACUGGUACUGAGACACGGACCAGACUCCUACGGGAGGCAGCAGUGAGGAAUAUUGGUCAAUGGGCGAGAGCCUGAACCAGCCAAGUCGCGUGAAGGAUGACUGUCUUAUGGAUUGUAAACUUCUUUUAUACGGGAAUAACAAGAGUCACGUGUGACUCCCUGCAUGUACCGUAUGAAUAAGCAUCGGCUAACUCCGUG
RNAcentral lists this ribosomal RNA (490 nucleotides) under uncultured bacterium. RNAcentral's name for it is "partial 16S ribosomal RNA". It matches the Rfam family "Bacterial small subunit ribosomal RNA", at positions 28 to 507 of the family's 1533-position model. The record is from RNAcentral.